UGGUUCUGGCAUCGAUGAAGAACGCAGCGAAAUGCGAUAAGUAAUGCGAAUUGCAGAAUUCCAGUGAGUCAUCGAAUCUUUGAACGCACAUUGCGCCCUUUGGUAUUCCGAAGGGCAUGCCUGUUCGAGCGUCAUUAUCACCCCUCAAGCCCUUCGGUUUGGUGUUGGAUGGCCGGUGAAAGGAGCCUUUCACCCCUCCCAAAGACAAUGACGGUGGCCUUGUUGGACCCCCGGUACACUGAGUUCUUUACGGAACACGUACUGGAUAAUAGGGUUCACGGGCGCGGUCUACCUCCCACUCGGGAGGAUCUUUUUUACAAGGUUGACCUCGGAUCAGGUAGGAAUACCCGCUGA
This 354-nucleotide unclassified non-coding RNA is filed under the name uncultured fungus. RNAcentral's name for it is "partial contains 5.8S ribosomal RNA and internal transcribed spacer 2". The stretch from base 1 to 134 matches the Rfam family "5.8S ribosomal RNA", at positions 22 to 154 of the family's 154-position model. Lineage: Eukaryota; Fungi. The record is from RNAcentral.